CAAUGAUCUUAUAAACAAUCGCUGAUUUCCGUGCUAUGGUGCUAAACAUUUGGCUUUUAAUUGAAGGCUACAAUGAAAGAUUCCACAUGUUAUUUUCUAUAUUAAUAUAUUUCUACGAGUACAAAAAUUCUCCUAAAAAAGAGGGACGAAAAAACUCUGUCGGACUUUAUUUCAAGGUAGGCUGGGGUGGCAAAAAACAAUUUCUUUUAUAACAGCUUUUAAACAACACAAUCUAGGAUAAAUUAUGUUGCCGCAGGGAUAACUGCAUCAUUUGUUUCUAAAGAUCUUAUGUACGAAACAGAUUGCGACCUCGAUGCUGAAUUAAUAUUUUGUUAGGAGCAAGAUCUUAAUAAGUCUGUUCGACUUUUAAGCAAUUAUACUAUUUGAGUUUAUACCAGGAUGAGCCAGGUCG
This 412-nucleotide ribosomal RNA is filed under the name Macrothele yani. Its description in RNAcentral is "partial large subunit ribosomal RNA". Lineage: Eukaryota; Metazoa; Arthropoda; Arachnida; Araneae; Macrothelidae. The record is from RNAcentral.